UCCGGUUCAUCACCGGCAGUCUCCUUAGAGUCCCCACCAUUACAUGUUGGCAACUAAGGAUAAGGGUUGCGCUCGUUACGGGACUUAACCCAACAUCUCACAACACGAGCUGACGACAGCCAUGCAGCACCUGUCUCAGAAUUCCUUUCGGCACUCCCGCAUCUCUGCAGGAUUCUCUGGAUGUCAAGGGUAGGUAAGGUUCUUCGCGUUGCAUCGAAUUAAACCACAUGCUCCACCGCUUGUGCGGGCCCCCGUCAAUUCCUUUGAGUUUUAAUCUUGCGACCGUACUCCCCAGGCGGAUAACUUAUCGCGUUAGCUUCGAUACUGAACAGUCUAAGCUGCCCAACAUCUAGUUAUCAUCGUUUACGGCGUGGACUAC
Molecule: unclassified non-coding RNA, 379 nt
Filed under: uncultured Gammaproteobacteria bacterium
Lineage: Bacteria; Pseudomonadati; Pseudomonadota; Gammaproteobacteria
Description: contains 16S-23S intergenic spacer region
Source: RNAcentral